GAUGAACGCUGGCGGCGUGCUUAAUACAUGCAAGUCGAGCGAAGUGCUUUAACGGAAUUCUUCGGAAGGAAGAUAAAGUGACUGAGCGGGCGACGGGUGAGGUACGCGCGUGGGUAACCUGCCUUAUACAGGGGGAUAACAGUUAGAAAUGGCUGCUAAUACCGCAUAAGCGCACAGGACCGCAUGGUCUGGUGUGAAAAACUCCGGUGGUAUAAGAUGGACCCGCGUCUGAUUAGCUAGUUGGUGGGGUAACGGCCCACCAAGGCGACGAUCAGUAGCCGGCCUGAGAGGGUGAACGGCCACAUUGGGACUGAGACACGGCCCAG
RNAcentral lists this ribosomal RNA (326 nucleotides) under uncultured bacterium. Its description in RNAcentral is "bacterial SSU rRNA". It matches the Rfam family "Bacterial small subunit ribosomal RNA", at positions 28 to 334 of the family's 1533-position model. The record is from RNAcentral.